CACAGAGAGCUUGCUCUCGGGUGACGAGCGGCGGACGGGUGAGUAAUGUCUGGGAAACUGCCUGAUGGAGGGGGAUAACUACUGGAAACGGUAGCUAAUACCGCAUAACGUCGCAAGACCAAAGUGGGGGACCUUCGGGCCUCAUGCCAUCAGAUGUGCCCAGAUGGGAUUAGCUAGUAGGUGGGGUAAUGGCUCACCUAGGCGACGAUCCCUAGCUGGUCUGAGAGGAUGACCAGCCACACUGGAACUGAGACACGGUCCAGACUCCUACGGGAGGCAGCAGUGGGGAAUAUUGCACAAUGGGCGCAAGCCUGAUGCAGCCAUGCCGCGUGUAUGAAGAAGGCCUUCGGGUUGUAAAGUACUUUCAGCGAGGAGGAAGGCAUUAAGGUUAAUAACCUUGGUGAUUGACGUUACUCGCAGAAGAAGCACCGGCUAACUCCGUGCCAGCAGCCGCGGUAAUACGGAGGGUGCAAGCGUUAAUCGGAAUUACUGGGCGUAAAGCGCACGCAGGCGGUCUGUCAAGUCGGAUGUGAAAUCCCCGGGCUCAACCUGGGAACUGCAUUCGAAACUGGCAGGCUAGAGUCUUGUAGAGGGGGGUAGAAUUCCAGGUGUAGCGGUGAAAUGCGUAGAGAUCUGGAGGAAUACCGGUGGCGAAGGCGGCCCCCUGGACAAAGACUGACGCUCAGGUGCGAAAGCGUGGGGAGCAAACAGGAUUAGAUACCCUGGUAGUCCACGCCGUAAACGAUGUCGACUUGGAGGUUGUGCCCUUGAGGCGUGGCUUCCGGAGCUAACGCGUUAAGUCGACCGCCUGGGGAGUACGGCCGCAAGGUUAAAACUCAAAUGAAUUGACGGGGGCCCGCACAAGCGGUGGAGCAUGUGGUUUAAUUCGAUGCAACGCGAAGAACCUUACCUACUCUUGACAUCCAGAGAACUUAGCAGAGAUGCUUUGGUGCCUUCGGGAACUCUGAGACAGGUGCUGCAUGGCUGUCGUCAGCUCGUGUUGUGAAAUGUUGGGUUAAGUCCCGCAACGAGCGCAACCCUUAUCCUUUGUUGCCAGCGGUCCGGCCGGGAACUCAAAGGAGACUGCCAGUGAUAAACUGGAGGAAGGUGGGGAUGACGUCAAGUCAUCAUGGCCCUUACGAGUAGGGCUACACACGUGCUACAAUGGCAUAUACAAAGAGAAGCGACCUCGCGAGAGCAAGCGGACCUCAUAAAGUAUGUCGUAGUCCGGAUUGGAGUCUGCAACUCGACUCCAUGAAGUCGGAAUCGCUAGUAAUCGUAGAUCAGAAUGCUACGGUGAAUACGUUCCCGGGCCUUGUACACACCGCCCGUCACACCAUGGGAGUGGGUUGCAAAAGAAGUAGGUAGCUUAACCUUCGGGAGGGCGCUUACCACUUUGUGAUUCAUGACUGGGGUGAAGUCGUAACAAGGUAACCGUAGGGGAACCUGCGGUUGGAUCACCUCCUUACCUUAAAGAA
This 1478-nucleotide ribosomal RNA is filed under the name Klebsiella aerogenes. Its description in RNAcentral is "bacterial SSU rRNA". It matches the Rfam family "Bacterial small subunit ribosomal RNA". The record is from RNAcentral. Lineage: Bacteria; Pseudomonadati; Pseudomonadota; Gammaproteobacteria; Enterobacterales; Enterobacteriaceae.